GAUGAACGCUAGCUACAGGCUUAACACAUGCGAGUCGCGGGGCAGCAUGGGGGUUGCUUGCAAUCCCCGAUGGCGACCGGCGCACGGGUGAGUAACGCGUAUCCAACCUGCCCUUCACCACGGGAUAACCCGGCGAAAGUCGGACUAAUACCGUAUGUUGUCCAUUGACGGCAUCCGAUUUGGACGAAAGGUUUGGCGGUGAAGGAUGGGGAUGCGUCCGAUUAGCUGGACGGCGGGGUGACGGCCCACCGUGGCGACGAUCGGUAGGGGUUCUGAGAGGAAGGUCCCCCACACUGGAACUGAGACACGGUCCAGACUCCUACGGGAGGCAGCAGUGAGGAAUAUUGGUCAAUGGGCGUAAGCCUGAACCAGCCAAGUAGCGUGCAGGAUGACGGCCCUAUGGGUUGUAAACUGCUUUUAUGCGGGGAUAAAGUGGCCCACGUGUGGGUUUUGGCAGGUACCGCAUGAAUAAGGACCGGCUAAUUCCGU
RNAcentral lists this ribosomal RNA (489 nucleotides) under uncultured bacterium. RNAcentral describes it as "partial 16S ribosomal RNA". It matches the Rfam family "Bacterial small subunit ribosomal RNA", at positions 28 to 506 of the family's 1533-position model. The record is from RNAcentral.